This 732-nucleotide ribosomal RNA is filed under the name Salmonella enterica. RNAcentral describes it as "bacterial LSU rRNA". It matches the Rfam family "Bacterial large subunit ribosomal RNA", at positions 2202 to 2925 of the family's 2925-position model. RNAcentral also lists the same sequence under 3 other names. The record is from RNAcentral. Lineage: Bacteria; Pseudomonadati; Pseudomonadota; Gammaproteobacteria; Enterobacterales; Enterobacteriaceae.
ACCCUUUAAUGUUUGAUGUUCUAACGUGGACCCGUGAUCCGGGUUGCGGACAGUGUCUGGUGGGUAGUUUGACUGGGGCGGUCUCCUCCUAAAGAGUAACGGAGGAGCACGAAGGUUGGCUAAUCCUGGUCGGACAUCAGGAGGUUAGUGCAAUGGCAUAAGCCAGCUUGACUGCGAGCGUGACGGCGCGAGCAGGUGCGAAAGCAGGUCAUAGUGAUCCGGUGGUUCUGAAUGGAAGGGCCAUCGCUCAACGGAUAAAAGGUACUCCGGGGAUAACAGGCUGAUACCGCCCAAGAGUUCAUAUCGACGGCGGUGUUUGGCACCUCGAUGUCGGCUCAUCACAUCCUGGGGCUGAAGUAGGUCCCAAGGGUAUGGCUGUUCGCCAUUUAAAGUGGUACGCGAGCUGGGUUUAGAACGUCGUGAGACAGUUCGGUCCCUAUCUGCCGUGGGCGCUGGAGAACUGAGGGGGGCUGCUCCUAGUACGAGAGGACCGGAGUGGACGCAUCACUGGUGUUCGGGUUGUCAUGCCAAUGGCACUGCCCGGUAGCUAAAUGCGGAAGAGAUAAGUGCUGAAAGCAUCUAAGCACGAAACUUGCCCCGAGAUGAGUUCUCCCUGAGACUUUAGGUCUCCUGAAGGAACGUUGAAGACGACGACGUUGAUAGGCCGGGUGUGUAAGCGCAGCGAUGCGUUGAGCUAACCGGUACUAAUGAACCGUGAGGCUUAACCUUACA